GCCGCGGUAAGACGUAGGGCGCAAGCGUUGUCCGGAUUUAUUGGGCGUAAAGAGCUCGUAGGCGGCGUGUCGCGUCGACUGUGAAAACCCGCAGCUCAACUGCGGGCCUGCAGCCGAUACGGGCAGGCUAGAGUUCGGUAGGGGAGACUGGAAUUCCUGGUGUAGCGGUGAAAUGCGCAGAUAUCAGGAGGAACACCGGUGGCGAAGGCGGGUCUCUGGGCCGAUACUGACGCUGAGGAGCGAAAGCGUGGGGAGCGAACAGGAUUAGAUACCCUGGUAGUCCACGCUGUAAACGUUGGGCGCUAGGUGUGGGGGGCCUCUCCGGUUCUCUGUGCCGCAGCUAACGCAUUAAGCGCCCCGCCUGGGGAGUACGGCCGCAAGGCUAAAACUCAAAGGAAUUGACGGGGGCCCGCACAAGCGGCGGAGCAUGCGGAUUAACUCGAUGCAACGCGAA
Molecule: ribosomal RNA, 454 nt
Filed under: uncultured actinomycete
Lineage: Bacteria; Bacillati; Actinomycetota; Actinomycetes; Actinomycetales
Description: bacterial SSU rRNA
Rfam family: Bacterial small subunit ribosomal RNA
Source: RNAcentral